CAAGUCUUUCUUUAAUAAAGAUUAAUAAAAAAUUUCUUUAGGCCUAGUCUUUCAAACACAAAUAUUCUCCAUGCAUGUAAUGGCCCAUUAUUCAAAGACAGCCUCAAAUUAUUUUUUUUCCAACUGGCAAACUGUAUCAAAAGCCCAACUCUCAAAAGCCAAUGUAUUACAUCUUCCCCAAACUUGCUAAGUUUAUGUUUUUUAAUCCCAAAAAAGUGGUAUUGUUUUGUUGACUGCCUUUAAAAAAACUUACCAAUCUUGCAAUUGUUAUUAACGUGGUUGUUAAUGUCAUGUAUGUGUAUGUCUUGAUUCUGUCUUUGUUGCCAUGCUGGUUGUUUCUUUGACAGAGUUGGCUGUUGGCUGCUGCCUGCGCAGAUAAUGAAAGCCUAACAACUUGGAACCUGUCUAGAAAUUCACUGCAGGCUGUCCGUGUGACUGUAAAUGUUUUGCUAUCUAGAAACUAAAAACUUCACUCCAACUACGGUUGUUCAUCCAUGUGAAUGUAACUAUCAUCAAUGGGUUAGUGUUAUAAGUUAAUCCCAUAUCUACUAACUUUGAACCUUAGUUUGUUUCAUCAAGCGAAACUUGCCCCGUGCACUGAGAUCUCUCUGUUGUGUUUUUACCUGAUCCAUUCCUCGGACAUUUGCAGGUAAAAUAAUUUGUUAUAAGUUUUAAAUUGUUCCAAAGCUGAUUUUGUGUCAUUCAUUAAAUUUAACCAAAGUUUAAUGAAUUGUUCUCCCCUGGAAUCCUUUUUAAAUUGAUUUUGUUUUUAAGUGAGUCAGAACACUCAAGUGGAACACUUUCUUUUCUAGGCUGUAGAGAUUGCACGGAAACUGUCUAAUGAGGACAGUAGUGGUGAACACGACGUCUAGAGUCCCCAUCAAGACAACUGCCUCAAACCAUCAUGAGAACACUGGUUGGAUGUUCGUACUGCCCUCAAAGUAAUUUGUUGCCAUGCUGGCUGUCCUUAGACAGGGUUGGCUGCUGCUAGAAAGCGUAGAUGGUGAAAGCAUGCCAACAGAAGGACAUCGGUGAAGGUUCUACAAGAUAGAUUGCUGUGACAUCAUUGAGAUUAUUCACUGAUUGAAGAGCCAACUCAGUGUCCCAAGCAAUACCCCAGUCGCCCCUCGGACUUAUAGUCUUCUAUACCUGAGGUCAAUCUGAUAGGGAACCUAGUCUCUUCAUCACCAGUCUCCCCCCCCCCCCAGACUUAGGGUCUUCUUUACCCGAAGUAAAUUCGUUUAUCACCAUAGUCUUCUCACCACGCCCUUCCUGCUCCAACACCAUCUUUAGCUACCACUUUCUCGAAUGACCAAGAGUUUGAGUCGAGCAGUCACCAGACAGACAGGCAGACAGACAGACAGACAGAGGUUGCUGUUUGAAACAUUGAGCCCACCAGUUCUUCUCAGAACCCAAAUUCACUCAACAGAGAUCUACCUAAAUCAUUUUGUUGCCAAACUGCAGAAGAUCAAGGAGGCUCGUGAAGAGAUGGCAGAGAUUGAACGGAAACUGUCUAAUGAGGACACCAGUGAUGAAUGCGAUGUCUAGAGUCCUCGUUAAUACGCCUUGACAUCAUCACGACAACACUGGCUGUACGCUCUGUACUGCCCUCAAAGAAAUCGUUGCCAUGCUGGCUGUCCCUAGAUAGGGUUGGCUGAUGCUAGCACAGAUGAUGUAAGCAUGCCAACUAAAGAACAUCUACAAGACAGAUUGCCAGGACAUCUUUGAGGUAUAUGCACAUUUUAUGAACCUUGUGAUUUCAUGAAACUUUGAUUGAACUUGUAUUAUUCCUCAUACACAACUGUGCCAUCUCUGAUAAGCAGAGAACCCAAUGGUGUGCGAUAUCUUGAAAUAAUCAACGUUUUGUCCAGCCUUUCAAAAACUUACCAACCAAAUGCUUUUGGUACUCUGACAUUUGUAUUUCCUUUGAUAUUGUGGUGCCUUUGAUAUUUCAUUAAAAACUCAUAUGUUCAGUUUUGUGGCAUAUUUUGAAACCAUAACUAGCUCAUGUUGAAUUGCUCGAGUCAUUUUCAAAGCAACCUUGUACAAUCUCUCGAUACCAUUUCAUGUUGACAUUUUAAGGCUGUAAUUAUUGUUUAAUGACAGCGAUACAGUGUCUUGCUGAAUCACUUUUGAUGAAAUGAUUUCUGUUGUGUGUCUUUUAGUUAUCUUCAGAUUAUUAACCAAAUGAAGAGCCAACUCAUUGUUCCAAGCAAUACACCAGUCCCCCCUCGGGGUCUUCUAUACCCAAAGUCAAUUUGAUUAUGCUAUUGUUACUACUCAUCAUACACAUUAGUGUGUUCUUUCUCGAAGUCAAACCAACUUUACAUAGUACUGUGGCAAUAAUUUCUGAGGCCUCGCCCUGACAAAUUUAAGAACCAAAGCUGAUUCUUUAUAAAAAUUUUACAGUUGUAUAGGCUACAGCAAAAAUUAACCUGUGAAAAUUAGCGUUUGGCUUGACUUUGUUUGGAUUGGUCACCCAGUUGAUUAUGACAUUGUCAUGUAUGUUUUGAUUUCGUCUAGGCUGCCAUGCUGGCUGUCCUUAGACAGAGUUAGCUGAUGCUAGCACAGAUGAUGAAAGCAUGCCUUCAAAAGAACAUCGGUGAAGGUUCUACAAGAUAGAUUGCUGUGCCAUCAUUGAGAUCGAUGAGGGUCUUGAAGAGGGUCAGAACACUCCAAGCGGACCACCUUGCUUUCAAGAUGGUAGAGAUUGAACUGAAACGGUCAAAUGAGAACAGCUGCCUCAAACCAUCAGGAGAAGACUGGUUGGAUGCUUCAGACUACCCGAAAAGGAAUUCAUUAAGUUGCCAUGCUAAACAGGGUUGGCUGCUGCUAGCACAGACGAUGAAAGCAUGCCAACAAAAGAACACAUCGGUGAAGGUUCUACAAGAUAGAUUGUCCUGACAUUGUGAGGUUGCCACGCACGACGUCCUUAAACAGGGUUGCCUGCUGCUAGCAGUGAUGAUGGUGAAGGGUCUACAACAUUGAUUACCGUGACUCCAUUGAAGAGUAUUCACUGAUUGAAGAGCCAACUCAGUGUCCCAAGCAAUACACCAGUCCCCCCCCCCCCAGACUUAGGGUCUUGUAUACCCGAAGUCAAGUUAUUUAGCACCAUAGACGUCUCACCACGCCCUUCCUGCUCCAACAACACUCUCUCGUAUGAGCAAGAGUUUGAGUCGAGCAGUCUACAGAUGGAGUGUACUGUCUGAAACAUUGAGCCCACCUGUUCUUCUUGGAACCCAAAUUCACUCAUCGGAGAUCUACCUAAAUCAUUAUGUUGCCAAGCUUCAAAGGGUAGGCAUUUUUUGAGCCAUUGCAAAUUUCUGCUGUUAUAUUAACUCAAUGUUGUGUUCUUUAUUGAAGCCAAGCCAACUUUACAUUGUAGUGUGCCAAUAAUUUCUGAGGCAAUCAUUCUCCAUCUAUCGUAUCAAUUCCAAGGUUAUGUUCUACUUGUCAAAUCAUUUCCAAAGUAAUUUUGUGCAAUUUCUCAAAACCAUUCCAAGUCAGGGUAUUAUUGCUAAUUGCAUCAAAUUGCAAUUUGUCCUAAGACAUUUUAACAUUAUUGCUCUACCUUUGGAUGGGUCCUGUGUGUUAUGUAAUGCUCUGGCAUGUUGGGCAAAUGAUGUUUAAUAUUUGAGUCUUGUAUUACAAAAACUUAUAAAUAACUGUCUUAAACAUUUCUGCUUUCACUAAAUAAAUAGAUGACGCUUUAUAAAUGCUUGAUGUUGUUAUUUUUCAACUACUUCAGAUCGAUGAGGGUCUUGAAGAGGGUCAGAACACUCCAAGCGGACCACCUUGCUUUCAAGAUGGUAGAGAUUGAACUGAAACGGUCAAAUGAGAACAGCUGCCUCAAACCAUCAGGAGAAGACUGGUUGGAUGCUUCAGACUACCCGAAAAGGAAUUCAUUAAGUUGCCAUGCUAAACAGGGUUGGCUGCUGCUAGCACAGACGAUGAAAGCAUGCCAACAAAAGAACACAUCGGUGAAGGUUCUACAAGAUAGAUUGUCCUGACAUUGUGAGGUUGCCACGCACGACGUCCUUAAACAGGGUUGCCUGCUGCUAGCAGUGAUGAUGGUGAAGGGUCUACAACAUUGAUUACCGUGACUCCAUUGAAGAUCGAGGAGGCUCUUGGAAGAGGAUCACCUUGCUUUCAAGAUGGUAGAGAUUGAAUAGAAACAGUCUAACAAGAGCAGCAGUGAUGAAGAUGACGUCUAGAGUCCCCGUCUAGACAACCAUCUCAAACCAUCAAUAGAACUAGCACCCAGAUUAAAUUCAUCUAGCUAAAAAGGCUGAUCACCUUCCAUUGCCAUGCAUUUUUAAGUCUCAAAUAAUUGAUGGCACAAGUUUGAUAAAACUGGUGAAAAGCUCUCGAAUUUGUCAAUUUUAGGCAAAUAUUAAACUGCUAGACCUAGUACCCUUUUUUAAAUUUAUUUAUAAUAGUGGCUGCAUGGUGCUGGUAGUCUUAAUAAACAAUACUUCUGAUUAAAUCUGGGUUAGGGGGGUGUCUGUUGCAUUCCCCCUCCCAAUCAAAACCUCUUUAGGUCAGUAUUCCACCCAAAUUAUCUUGCACAUUUGAGGGAUUGCCUUUGAAAUUAUAAUUGACCAAUAAAACCUCGACUUGACAAAAGGAAAGUUAGCAAAACAGUCUAACACUUGGAUUUCUUGUUGUCUUGUGAGAAAAUAUGCAUAAGGCACCGACCAUGAAUCGCAGAACCUCGGCUGUUAGCCACAGCAGAUAAAUAAUCUGCCAGGGUAUAGCGUAGAAAUCCCAGAAUGCUUUAGUUUCCAAUAGCCAACUAUCCAAAUACAAUGAGAAACUAUAGUGCAGCCUGUCUUGUCUGCCACGUUUGUAUAACAAACAGACAAAAAAAGUCCUGGAACUGGGGAUAUGGCAAAAGGGGGAUAAGGGGUGCAUUAUUUCUGCUACUUUCUGUCCCUCUUUUUAAUGGGUGAAAAGUGUAUCACUACAGGGGCAUACCCGUGCAAGAUACACAAAGAAAUAUCUAGGUAUCUUCGCUCCACACAUGGAUAAAUGAUUACCUGUGAGGGCAGAGUUGUUUCUUGUGAUUGAUUAGCUUACAUAUUUGGGGGCACAGACUGUAUAC
Molecule: long non-coding RNA, 5104 nt
Organism: Asterias rubens (European starfish)
Lineage: Eukaryota; Metazoa; Echinodermata; Asteroidea; Forcipulatida; Asteriidae
Exons: 12
Source: RefSeq, a predicted model, not a curated record